This 67-nucleotide transfer RNA is filed under the name chicken gut metagenome. It matches the Rfam family "tRNA", at positions 5 to 66 of the family's 71-position model. Rfam says of the family: Transfer RNA (tRNA) molecules are approximately 80 nucleotides in length. Their secondary structure includes four short double-helical elements and three loops (D, anti-codon, and T loops). Further hydrogen bonds mediate the characteristic L-shaped molecular structure. tRNAs have two regions of fundamental functional importance: the anti-codon, which is responsible for specific mRNA codon recognition, and the 3' end, to which the tRNAs corresponding amino acid is attached (by aminoacyl-tRNA synthetases). tRNAs cope with the degeneracy of the genetic code in two manners: having more than one tRNA (with a specific anti-codon) for a particular amino acid; and 'wobble' base-pairing, i.e. permitting non-standard base-pairing at the 3rd anti-codon position. The record is from RNAcentral.
CAGUAGCUCAGCAGGUUAGAGCAGCGGACUCAUAAUCCGUCGGUCGUCGGUUCAAGUCCGGCCUGGG